Molecule: ribosomal RNA, 226 nt
Filed under: uncultured bacterium
Lineage: Bacteria
Description: partial 16S ribosomal RNA
Rfam family: Bacterial small subunit ribosomal RNA
Source: RNAcentral
CCUAGCCCUUCAGAGGGGGACAACAGUUGGAAACGACUGCUAAUACCGCAUACGAUCUAAUCUCGGCAUCGAGGAUGGAUGAAAGGUGGCCUCUAUUUAUAAGCUAUCACUGAAGGAGGGGAUUGCGUCUGAUUAGCUAGUUGGAGGGGUAACGGCCCACCAAGGCGAUGAUCAGUAGCCGGUCUGAGAGGAUGACCGGCCACAUUGGGACUGAGACACGGCCCAA